GGGCGCGUAGCUCAGCGGUAGAGCGCCAGCCCCAUAGGUCAGUCUCCGCAGGUUCGAGUCCUGCCGCGCCCA
This 72-nucleotide transfer RNA is filed under the name Rhodococcus (subgen. Prescottella) equi. RNAcentral's name for it is "Rhodococcus hoagii tRNA-Met". It matches the Rfam family "tRNA". Rfam says of the family: Transfer RNA (tRNA) molecules are approximately 80 nucleotides in length. Their secondary structure includes four short double-helical elements and three loops (D, anti-codon, and T loops). Lineage: Bacteria; Bacillati; Actinomycetota; Actinomycetes; Mycobacteriales; Nocardiaceae. The record is from RNAcentral.